AUCGCUUCUAGCCUUUUGGCUAUGAUCUUUAGUAGUAAACGUUUAUUGUUCUUUGACAAGAACAAGCCCAUCUCCGGAUGGGUAACUUGUCAAGUCAAUAUUUGGCAGCGGUGAGGCUUCUAGCUUGCUAGAACCUCACAAGCAUGGCCUCGGAGCUGCACUAUUUCCGAGCGCUGUGCACGUAUU
This is a small nuclear RNA of Monosiga brevicollis MX1, 186 nucleotides long. It matches the Rfam family "U2 spliceosomal RNA". From Rfam's summary of the family: U2 is a small nuclear RNA (snRNA) component of the spliceosome (involved in pre-mRNA splicing). Complementary binding between U2 snRNA (in an area lying towards the 5' end but 3' to hairpin I) and the branchpoint sequence (BPS) of the intron results the bulging out of an unpaired adenosine, on the BPS, which initiates a nucleophilic attack at the intronic 5' splice site, thus starting the first of two transesterification reactions that mediate splicing. The record is from Rfam. Lineage: Eukaryota; Choanoflagellata; Craspedida; Salpingoecidae.